AGCGGCGGACGGGUGAGUAAUGCCUGGGAAUAUGCCCUGAUGUGGGGGAUAACUAUUGGAAACGAUAGCUAAUACCGCAUAAUCUCUUCGGAGCAAAGAGGGGGACCUUCGGGCCUCUCGCGUCAGGAUUAGCCCAGGUGGGAUUAGCUUGUUGGUGAGGUAAUGGCUCACCAAGGCAACGAUCCCUAGCUGGUCUGAGAGGAUGACCAGCCACACUGGAACUGAGACACGGUCCAGACUCCUACGGGAGGCAGCAGUGGGGAAUAUUGCACAAUGGGGGAAACCCUGAUGCAGCCAUGCCGCGUGUGUGAAGAAGGCCUUCGGGUUGUAAAGCACUUUCAGUAGGGAGGAAGGUAGUGUAGUUAACACCUGCAUUAUUUGACGUUACCUACAGAAGAAGCACCGGCUAACUCCGUGCCAGCAGCCGCGGUAAUACGGAGGGUGCGAGCGUUAAUCGGAAUUACUGGGCGUAAAGCGCAUGCAGGCGGCCUGUUAAGUCAGAUGUGAAAGCCCGGGGCUUAACCUCGGAAUUGCAUUUGAAACUGGCAGG
RNAcentral lists this ribosomal RNA (550 nucleotides) under uncultured bacterium. Its description in RNAcentral is "bacterial SSU rRNA". It matches the Rfam family "Bacterial small subunit ribosomal RNA", at positions 94 to 640 of the family's 1533-position model. The record is from RNAcentral.